Long non-coding RNA from Oreochromis niloticus (Nile tilapia), 2309 nucleotides. RefSeq lists it as uncharacterized. Lineage: Eukaryota; Metazoa; Chordata; Actinopteri; Cichliformes; Cichlidae. The transcript has 2 exons. The record is from RefSeq and is a predicted model, not a curated record.
AAUAAAGGUGGUCACACCAAAUAUUGACUUUCAAGCUUAUUAGAAUUGUACAAACUCUGUUUUUGCCUUAUGUACUGAAAUUCCAUGUAUUUUUGUACAUGUUUCAAUCAAUCGCUACACCUAUUUCUCAUUUUCCUAGCAAAAUAUAUGCCUCAAGACCUUUGUACAACACUGUAUAUUGCUUCACUUAUAACAGAAAAAUAAAUGUCUUCAUUAUUUUAAUUGGUAAAAAUUUCUCUUGGCAAGUAAUUUCUGCAUUAGCAGGUACAACAGUAAGUUUACUUUGAGUUCUCUGCACCUCAUUACAGUGUGAAUUAAAACUCAUUGAAAAAAAGCACCCAGUGACACAGAGGAACAUAUUAAGUAAUUAAAGCAAAGGCAGAGGAGAGGAAGGCCAAGUGUAUCGCAGUUCUUAUUCUUGUUGUUCUCUUUCUCAGGGGCCAAAGCCAUUACAUUCCACAGCCAUGACAACGGGAACCAGUAUUUACUGAAAGCUGCCACUUACUUCCUACAAAUUGGACAUACUCAAAAGCUUCAAAUACCACUGUUACUCUAUGAGAAAUACUUCUGGUUUCUGACAUCUAGCAUAUUAGUUCACUGUUAAAAACUCCCACUCAAAACCCACAGCACAAUUUAUCCUAUUAACACGUCUGAGUGGUCAAUUAUACAUUAUGUCUCUCCCCUAAGGCCUCCACUGUUGUACGAAAGUGUUGAAAAUACAAUAAUAAGCCAUAUUGUUGCACUUGGUGCCAUACAUACACAAACUGUCUUUUACUCAACAGAUAUACUAUUUAUACCUAUUUAGAGUCACAUGUCCAGGGAAAUCAUACAAAAAGUAAUUAAUUUGUUGAAAAAGAAAUCUAUUUAUAUAAUGCUACUUGUCUUAUUCUCAAUAUACAGUCAGCCAUAGGGCAGUAAGGCUUGAGAUUAUGCUAGAAUUCAAUGAAAAAUCUCAACAUUACAGCUCCCGAAAUAACAGCUCUUCCAUUUUCAGUCAAAAGGUGGCAGCACAGACUGGGCCAUCUGUGCAAGAGCCUUCUGAAACACAAAGCUACUACUAAAUGUUUUACUAACACCUGGUGCAACUUGCUGUUUACUCGCCUUCAUUAAACAUGCAACGUUGUCCUACUGACAAGAUUUUGUCCAUCGCACCAAAUGAGACCAUGUGAACCCACGGUCGCGCUCCAUGUAAGAAAGAAACAGAUAAAAAGUUUCAUAUAUGCAGCAGAUCUAACACAUGCAUGACCUUUGUACACUUGUAACAAGUUUUACUUUUCAUUACUAUCAAAAGCAUAUACACAGAGGACAAAAGUAGUGUCUAUUUUUAUGUAUUUGAUUACUGUGAGUAUUGGGACUCAGUGUAAUCUUGGGGCGUAUCUCAUGAUAUAUUAAUAUAGAAGAAAACAUUUAAAUACUUUCCAAUAAGAGUGAAGAAUUUUAACCUAACCUCGGCUAAGCUCCUGCACGUUGUCCUAAUGAAAGACCUUCGCAGUGAGCUACUGCUCAGAGUAAGUCAGUAACUAAUAAAGUGUGUGGGUGGUACUCACUUAUUUUUUUCAGUCAUUGAUUAAUAACUUGGUUUAAAAAAUCUGCAAUGAAAAUGUGAACAACAAUAAUCACAAUCGAGUUCAUGUAAGUCAGGGUGUAACAUGUACAUAUAUGUUUUAGCAUUUCCAUUAAUAUUCAUGUUAACAUUUAAAGCUCUUCAGUCUCUGCCCUGCAUAUCUCACUGAUCUGGUCUUCAUCAGCAGGUUUAUUUGCAAGAACUUUCAUUAAAUCUCAGAAACGUGGGUGUUCGGGCCAUUUCUUUAAGCUACAUGUGGAACUCUCUACCUCCUCACAUUCAUGCACUGGACUCAUUGAUAUAAUUUAAGACUGCUCUUCAAACUUUUUAAACAGGUUUAUUCACUUUGAUUGAAGCCAUAUGUCAGGGUCCUGGGUCUGAGCGAUCCAGGACCCCUGAGCAGUCAUGGACUUGUUAUGUUGUGUAUAUAUAUUUGGUGUUGCUGUCCCUCUUCUCCCUGUCUGGAUGUGUGUAUGUGUUUCUGCGGGCGCCUUCAGGCCUGGUGGGUGUGGCCCUGCUGGUGGACUGGCCACACCCGAAGCCACACACCUGCUCCUGAUCAGGCCUCGUCGGGGGAGCUACUUAAGAGAGUCUUGGAGCUCCCACCGACGCGGGAUAAUUGAGUUAGACUCCCAAGAGGAGCGUGGAGAGGAAGGACAGCACGCACAGGGUGUGCAGGGUCACGACAGCGGGGAGCACGAACACGGACGCCACUGGAAGACACACACGGGAGUGUUGGGGAGCA